UACGUAGGGGGCAAGCGUUGUCCGGAUUUAUUGGGCGUAAAGAGCGUGUAGGCGGUCAGGUAGGUCCGUUGUGAAAACUCGAGGCUCAACCCCGAGACGCCGAUGGAAACCAUCUGGACUAGAGUCCGGAAGAGGAGAGUGGAAUUCCGUGGUGUAGCGGUGAAAUGCGCAGAUAUCGGGAAGAACACCCGUGGCGAAGGCGGCUCUCUGGGACGGUACUGACGCUGAGACGCGAAAGCGUGGGGAGCGAACAGG
RNAcentral lists this ribosomal RNA (255 nucleotides) under uncultured bacterium. RNAcentral's name for it is "partial 16S ribosomal RNA". It matches the Rfam family "Bacterial small subunit ribosomal RNA", at positions 524 to 776 of the family's 1533-position model. The record is from RNAcentral.